GAUAGAACCAAAAAUACUAUGACUCAA
This 27-nucleotide non-coding RNA is filed under the name Trypanosoma vivax. Lineage: Eukaryota; Euglenozoa; Kinetoplastea; Trypanosomatida; Trypanosomatidae. The record is from RNAcentral.